UUCAACACAUCCUUAAUGGACUUGGCUUUUCCUUCCAUCAUAUUAACGUUCGCACCACCAUGCUGGGGCAUGGGAUUGUUAACGACAUUCGGAGCCGGUGCAAGGUCGAUGGCCUUUGAAUCUAUGAGGUCCUGAACUACGUGCUUAAAAGCUUUGCAGUUCUCAAUAUUGUGGCCAGGUGCCCCAGAGUGGAAGCUACACCUAGCGUUGGCGUCG
Molecule: long non-coding RNA, 216 nt
Filed under: Lathyrus oleraceus (garden pea)
Lineage: Eukaryota; Viridiplantae; Streptophyta; Magnoliopsida; Fabales; Fabaceae
Description: Pisum sativum (pea) long non-coding RNA (PSAT_LNC012768)
Source: RNAcentral